CCUACGGGUGGCAGCAGUAGGGAAUAUUGCUCAAUGGGGGAAACCCUGAAGCAGCAACGCCGCGUGGAGGAAGAAGGUUUUCGGAUUGUAAACCUCUUUUGUUAGAGAAGAAAAUGACGGUACCUAACUAAUAAGCACCGGCUAACUCCGUGCCAGCAGCCGCGGUAAUACGGAGGGUGCAAGCGUUAUCCGGAUUCACUGGGCGUAAAGGGCGCGUAGGCGGGUUAGCAAGUCAGUUGUGAAAUCCUAAGGCUUAACCAUAGAACUGCAUUUGAAACUGUUAUUCUAGAGUAUGGGAGAGGUAGGUGGAAUGCUUGGUGUAGGGGUAAAAUGCGUAGAGAUCAAGAAGAAUACUCAUUGCGAAGGCGGCCUACUAGAACAUAACUGACGCUGAGGCGCGAAAGCGUGGGGAGCAAACAGGAUUAGAUACCCGGGUAGUC
RNAcentral lists this ribosomal RNA (440 nucleotides) under uncultured bacterium. RNAcentral's name for it is "partial 16S ribosomal RNA". It matches the Rfam family "Bacterial small subunit ribosomal RNA", at positions 338 to 795 of the family's 1533-position model. The record is from RNAcentral.